This 38764-nucleotide long non-coding RNA is filed under the name Ananas comosus (pineapple). RNAcentral's name for it is "long non-coding RNA (ACOM_LNC025088)". Lineage: Eukaryota; Viridiplantae; Streptophyta; Magnoliopsida; Poales; Bromeliaceae. The record is from RNAcentral.
AAAAUUAAAGUAGCGUAGAAGCCUAAUAAAUAAUUAUAGUACUAUUUUCCUGGUUCUUCGGCAGUUCACCCAAUCCAAACAGUCCAACUUCUUGGUAACUGGAAUUAAGCCCACAAAGUUGGAAAUUGAUGUGCACACGUAAGACUCGGGCACCAUCUGCUUGAAAACUGCAUGAAAAAGAGCCAAAAAAAAAUAAAUAAAUAAAAAAAAGUGGUCAGGGGAAGUUGCGGAGGGGUGUUAAAUAAAAGUUUUCUAUGAGACUUGUUUCAUCUGAGAAUAACAUGAGGUGAUCGUUGCUUUUGUAAUUGAAAAAGGUUAGUUAUAAUUUAAGUUGUUCCAAGAGAUGAACUUUGUCCUCGAUCGCUAGUACUUAAUUUGCAGUAUAAAUCCAAAAACAGCAAUAAAACAACAUUUUUAGAGCCGGAAAAUAACACAAUUUUGGCAUUCAGCGUGGAGAUUACCAACAACUCUGUACCCGCAAGCUCUUUCCCUCGUCAUGUUCAUACGGCAUGCACUUAACAAUGAAUGGAAGGCCCACCACACAACUACGAAGCCGAAGAGCAACUCACCCAUAAUCGUUUUGUUUCCAACCAUUUCAUCUUUCCUACCUUCGCCACAAUUAACUUUAGUCAAAACCAUUAAACAAUUCUGAUUAGUUGAGAGAAGGUGAGUGGAACCACCAGUUUCACCACCAACCAAAAGAACCAUCUAUAUAAUAAUCCACAUCACAAUAAAUUCACAAGAAGCAAAAGGGAAAUAAACAACAGAAAUGGCCACCACUUUCACAGAGAGUGAGCACAAGGCUACCAAAAAGCAAGAAGUCACAGUGGUGGAUAAAGAUGAAGAGCACCAGAAUGACGAAGAAGAGUUCUUCGAGCUCGAUUUGGAGGUGCUUAACCGCAUAGAGACACUGCAGUAUUACGAGCACCGUCAGACUACCGCAGAAGCACUUCUUGCGAAUUGCCUUCUUCCUGUUGAGUAUAUAUGCAAUGCAAUACCGAUCGAAAGCAGCAGCAGCAGCAGCAGCAGCAGGAUGAAUGUUCCCUCAAAGAGGUUUGCCUACACACAAUAUCCAACGGUUGAUUCUCGUUGCGGGAGUUUCGAUGGAAGAAACACACGGAAGGUGAGCUAUGGUCAUUUCUGAACUAAACAGAAGUGCGAUAUAUAAUUCAAAGCGCACUUGAUUAAAUUCAAACACACUGUUAGCAUGAAAGAAGUGAUCUUGUUUGUACUUUAGUUUGCCUCCACUAUGCAGUGCUACAUAUAUAUAAAAGGUAUUUGCAAUUUUAUGACAUUGAAGAGAAGUGCUACCAUGUACAUAAAGUAGCUAAUUUUCCAUACGGAGCGUGACAGAGAUGCAACAAAAGCGAUUCAUUUUCGAGUCUAAAUACAGAAGGAAAACCAGUAUCUUCUGCUAUCGAUAAUAAGAACAAUUUUGGUUAAUUCAUCUAAGAUAGAUGAGUCAAGCAAGUCUGUCACACUCUAGACAUCCAUAUCUAUACAUUAAUUUUCAUAGAAUUUACCACAUGACAAUAUUUUUUCAUUCUUACCUUUCCUCCCCUUCUCACUACCUGUUAGGAGUCGAAUUCCGUCCUCUUUGACCCGGACAAAAAUCUUCCUUAGGAAGCGCGUCGGCUUCGGAUGGUGACCCUCGAAGUUUACCCCCUUCGACUGGAUCACUGGAUCAAGUGAUUUAGCUGAUGAGGGAUCGGAUCAGCCGAGUUCGAAAAUUUUUAUUGUAGAAUCGGUUCGGCUAGAUGAGCCGAAUUAAUAAAAUGCACAGAGUUUUAGGUCGGCUGAUGAGCCAAAUUUAUGAAAUGCACAUCAGUAAUUGGUCGGCUGAAAGAGCCGAAUGCUUUUAUAUAUUAAUAAAACAGAAUGUGCUCGAAGGGCAUACAUACUCUGAAUAUCUAGUUUACAACAGAGUGUGCCCGUGAGGCAUACAGACUCUAGAGAUUUAACUCAAAAACUACUUCUAGGAAAGCAGUAAAUGCGGAAAAGAAAAAGAUUACAUAUAGACUACUCCUAGAAAAGCGAUAAAAUUGUAGAGGACAUAAAGAUGGUCUUCUGGUUCAGGAAGGAGAAAGACCCCCAUUGCAGGUUUCGAAAUUACUAUUUAUAGUAAUAUCAACCCACAUUAUUGGUUGGUUGAAAAUAGUGGGGGGAGUAGUUGUAGCCAUGAUCGUGGAAGUUACGCCAACUUCUCAUGGAAGUUAUGCCCACUUCUCAACCGUUCCUAUCUAAAAGUUCUCAACUUUCAGACGCCUUAUUGCCGACUCCUGGUGUACCACGUAUCCUUAUUUCUUUAGCUUAUACGUGGGUUAGGUCGGCAAGCUAAUUUUUUCGCAUCAACACUACUUAUGUUUUGCCUUUCUACCUCCCAUCUUCACUCAAUACUUCGUCUUUCCACCUGCUUACUUUCUAAUUAAUGUGUUGAAACAAUUUAUUGUCAUGUAAAUUAAUCGCUUUCACAAAAAAGAAGAAGAAGAUCUAUUUAUACUUUUUUUUUCAUACUACUUAUAUUUAUUGAUACCUCAUGGCAAGUCAAAAAAUUUUAAAAUUUUUAUUUUAUCAAUUUUCUAUCUUUUAUACUAUUAGUCCGACACAAUGCGUUGAUAACUUCACUGGUAUUUAUUCAUAGCAUUUCUAUCACAAAAAAAAAGUUUACCUUUUGCUGCUGUUUUAUUACAAAACUUAUUAAAUAUUUCAAAAGAAAAGGACCGGCCUCACGAAAAAUAGAGUCAAGAAAUUGAAGUGAUUCAUUCUGUGCAAUCCACCAACUAAUAUUUCACGCUCACCAGGAAUCUUAAACAAUUGAAGAUAAAGGAGUGAAGCCAUAAAUUUCAUUAACCGGGAUUUGAGUUAACUUUAACGGCAUGUUUGGUUCACCUAUUUUAGACUAUGAAAUCGGAAUAAAAUUUAUCGAUUCCGAUAGUUGCCGUCUCUUUUAUAGAAAUCGAAUUCCGAUUCUCAUUCCAUUUCGGAAUGGAAAUGGCUAAAUCCAUUUAUGAUCCAAUCUGGCUUUGAAUUUCAGAUUGGCUUAUUCCAAAGUAAACUAUUCAAAAUUUUCUUUCACCGACACUAUUCAAGAUUUUCAUUUUGAUUUUCAUUCUAAUAAUGAACCAAAUAUUUUUGAAUAAUUCGCCAUUUCAUUUUUCAUCUCAAAACAAUUCAAUUCUAUUUUUCAUUUCUAUUCCAAUUACAAACCGAACAUUCCCUAAAUGUUAUAUCAUUUCUGUUAGAAAUAAAAAAAAAGAAAAAUAAAUUAAUAAAUUAAACAUAUAAUAUUUUAAUUCUCUCAUGGUCUUACCUCGCGCUUUAACUUAAAACUUAUAUUUUUAAUACUCUUACAAUUUCAUUUAAAAAAAUGUGUUUAGCCAUGGCUAUUGUAAUGCAUGAGUGAUUUUUCUUUUUCUUUUUCUUUUUUUUUUUGAGAGAGAGAGAGUGAAAGGCAACACAUUAUGUGCUUUAUUUUCUUUAAAAAUGAUUGAUAGUUGGUAUUUGAAAUUUCAAAUUCGAAGUCUAGUUAUUUUAUAUUUUAGUGAUAUUUAUUGUUAAUAAGAGAAAGAUUAAUAGGCGGAGGCGAGUGAAAUGGUUUUGACCAGGCUGGGCCAGAUUUUGGGUGGAAAAGUUUUUGUGCAGAACUAGCGUGGAAACAUCUUUUAGAUCUGACCCUGUUGCAAAUUGAUUGGGUUAGAUCCGGAUCAGAUAAUAAAAUUCUCAAGCCAACACCAAAGAAAAGAAGAAGUCAGGCCCACUCCAAUCUUCUCAGGACUCGGAUUUUCAGGCCCGGCCCUGCCCAACAAACCGGGUUCGAAUCUAACAUGGCUCACAUAAAACUGUGCGGGUCAAACACUAUGCCCGGAAUCAUAUAGAUAGCUGCUACUAUACAAAGACGAAUCAAACGUAUGUUAUUAAUUGUAGUUAAUGAGAUACAAAAACACGUGUUAAGUAAAUAUUAUUCCAAUAAACUUCCACUAUUGUUUUUUUUUUUUUUUUUUUGAGAGAGAAAGAGAGCGCGCUACCCGCUUCAUAUUCAGUAAAAAAGUAAAUUAAGCAGUUAUGGCAGACCAGUAUCACUCAAAUAUUACGCCGUUGGUUGGUAUCCUUCUUACCAAACAAUGGAUACACGUGGGUAUUAAAGAAAAAUAAAAAAAAAAUUCUAAAAUUGGGUCGUGGUUCUCCAGAGCUAGGUGUGGUAGUACACAGGAGCUACCCAAAGUAGGCCGUGGGCCGUGGUACUUGGGCCGGCGCGCUGUCGCUGUCGCUGGUGGCCCGUCGAGGGUACGCACGGGCGGAAUAGAGAAAGGAGGGAUGAGCGGAAUCGGAGGCCCGUAGGCCGAAACGUGGGGGGGGGGACCGAGCUCAUGAGUCAUGAUGCUCUCCCCCAACUCCGCUCGCACUCCGCAAGGGUUCGACACGCGCCCUCCCUUCACGUGGCGCGUAUGACGUCCAUGUACUCCCCCUCUUCUGGUUCCUCUGUGAUUCCUCAUACGACAACUCAUCGACCUCUGCGCGCGGAUGUGGACAUAUGUGUUACUGUGUACGCACUUCGAUCGCCUCUGUCGAAAGAGAUACAAAUCUUUUUUUCUUAAUUUAUUAUGAAAGGAAAAUGUUUCGAUUGGCUAUAGUGCAUAAUAUAAUGAGAUAUAUAUAUUACUUGUACAUAUUCUCGAAGGCCCCGUUUAAUUGGGAGGAUAAGCGGAGAUAACAAAAGUUAUUUCCGCUAUUCCGCCAAACGGAAUGAAAACUGGCCGGAAUAUUUUAUCCCGAUCAAACCUUGCUAUUUCCGGUUAUCCCGGAAUAGCAAGAAAUUUGUUAUUCCACCAUUUUGGUAGAAUAGCGCUAUUCCAAUGCUUUAUUUCAAACUUAAUUAAAAUUAUAAAUUGAAUUAAAACUAAAGUAUAUAAAUAUAAUAUAUUAUAUAUUAUAAUACAUUAUUUUUAUUAUAAAAUUAUUAAUUAUACUAUAUUAAUACAUAUUAUUUAUAUUUAAAUAUUAUAAUAAAAUUUAUAAUAAAUUAUAUUUAAGUAUUAUAAUAAAUUCUUUUUAUUAAAUUUAAGUUUAAGUAGAAUUUUUNGCAAACGGGCUUCAUUACCAUCCAUUUGUUUUCGAUGAUAGAGCAUUCAAAUUGACGAUCGGUACCGUUGAAAACGAUCUAUACCACUUCAAGUAUCUAGAAAUUAAAUUUCAUGCUUUUCCGAUAUUGUUCUCUUGUUCAUCAAGUGGGCAUAAAAAUGAACGGCUGAAAAUGAAUAUUUUUUAAAAAGUGAUGAUAGAAAUUUUGUAAUCAAGAUCGAGAGUAUAGAUCUUGUUCUAAAUAGUUUAAAAAAUUUUAUAACCAAAAUUCAAUUGAUUUGAAUAGCUUUACACUGUUAAACGAGAAAACGCCUCAUAUCGACCAUUAAAAUUACAAAUUUUGAAACCUUUUGAUCAUUAUGUCAAUGAUGUUCAAAAGAUUUGAAAUUUGAUUUCUAAAUACUUCAAGUGAUAUAGAUCAUGUUCAAUGGUGCCGAUCGUCGAUUUGAAAACUCCAAUAUCGAAAAUAAAUGGGUGGCAACGGAGCCCGUUUGCUACUGAUAGUAUUCCAACUCAACUAUAUAUAUAUAUAUAUAUAUAUAUAUAUAUAUACAAACACUUUAGGGUAUAUAUGCAGGAUUGCUUAUUCAACGAAGAUUUUUUUUUUGUCUCACUUUGCGAAAGUAAGCAAUUUUGCUUUAUUUUUACAUUAUUUUUUUUUUCUUUUUGUAGAUUUCUUCUAAAAAUGUAUGAUAAUCAGACAUUAGAAAUAUUGCUUGUACGUCCGCAAUUAGGGUGCAAAUCUUACCCUACUCAUCCAAGGGUGCAAACACUACUUUUAGAUUUUUAAUAUAAAAAAAAGAUUAACAAGACUAUUGUAAAAAUAUUAACUCCCAAAUAAAUAAAGUAUAAAUUUUACAUCCACUUUUUAGAUUCUUUAGACAUUGUGAGAAAGCGCCCAUUCAGCAAUAGCCUAAAAUGAGAUUGGCGCACGAGUGUAAUACAACGGGCGCUUGUCGAGUUAGCAAGACAUAAUAAGUCUAAAAUGUUGUCUUUUGUGCUAUUUAAAAAACAUGAACAUUAUAAAAAAUUGACAUAUGAAUAGAUCCUCAUUUAAUUGCCUAAUUUCCAGCUGAGCCAAUCUUUCUCUGGCACCUGGAUGUAAUUGACCGAGCAUCCAAUGUCAGAAUUAUCCAGUGAUAUCCUAUUGAGUGAUUGAGUGUCAAGAUUUUUUAUAACAAUUAAAAGUUAGGAGUAUGAUCAGACGUAUAAAAUAGAAUAGCAUAUUCGACCUUCAAAUCAUAUUUUCGGAAUAACAUAAUUAAUCUUGUAAGUAACAUUUGAUACCCCAUACCGACCGUUCCUAUAGUAAGUGGCAAAGGACUUGGUGGUUGGUACCCGAGACCCAAGUUUGAAUCCUAGUUGAUUCAUAUUUCUAGCUAAGUUUAUUUCUAAAUGAAAUAAACGAAGCGGGUAACGUGCUACCUAUCUCUCUAAAAAAAAAAAAAAAAAAACAUUUGAUACCCCACCACAUCAUGAAGACUAAGACUUUAUAGGGAACAAAAAUCAAACUCUUACUUUGUAAUUAUAUAAGAAAUUUUUUAUACCAAAUAAAUUAUCAUUGAUUUAUUCCGAUACAAGUUUUUCUUUUGUUUUUUGUGAGGAAGACAGCAUACUAUCUGCUUCGUUUAAUGUACAGUAAUUGACAAGCUACCCAGCCUAUUUCUUAAAUUCUUAGUCUCGCAUAUUUCCAAGAUACUAGAUUUGUAACUCAUUGGCUAAUUUUCAAGAAAGAUUUUCUCUCUUAUAUAUUUGGAAACUUAUUAGCCAAUGAUUUGAGUGAUUUGGGAGGAGUUCUAUAUAUAGUACGACGAAAUCAAACAAUUUGUGCUCCUUGAUUCUGGUUUAGUAAAAUCUGCCUAUCAAGCUAAUUACAAGGAUAGCCUCUGCCUAUCAAACUAAUUACAAGGAUAGCCGUUAAAUGCCAUAAAAUAAAUCCUGAACACGAAAUUUUUUUUUUUUUUUUAGAUAGAUAGGUAGUACGCUAUUUGUUUCGUUUAUUUCAUUUAAAAAUAAACUUAGCUAAAAAUAUGAAUCAACUAGGAUUCAAACUUGAGACCUAGGUACCAACCACCAAACCCUUUGCCAUUUGCUCUAGAAACGGUUAAUUUGAGCAUGAAAAGUUAAUAAUGACAAAUGAGAGUAAAAAUGAUCAUAUUUAACCAAUCAUAGUUCUUGGGGGAGAUUUUUUUUACAAAAAAAAUCCAGAGAUUCGAUAAGCUUGAAACCUUUGAAUUAUAAAUCAAUUAAACUUUAUCUUGAUUUCCUACCAAAGUAGGCACUUGUGAUUCUCAUGCUGUAAGAGGAAAUUGACGUUGUUAUCGUCUCAUUCUAUCCAAUCAGAACAAGUUCCAAAUGAUGGGAAAAGAGAAGUCAUUUGCGCCCAACGGGAAUCGAUGCUACAACUAUUAGCAAAUAAAUUACCAAGGAAGAUUCUUCAGGUACCUAGCAGUGUAUUUUUAUAUAUUGUUGUUGGCCCUAUUAAAUAUAUUGCAACUUUGAGCUGCUUAAUUAUACGAAAUAAUUAAAUACGUUUCAAAUCAAGCACAAAAGCGCAUGCAAUAAUAUAUAAGGACGAUAUGUUAAGAGUAUAUAAUAAUUUUCUUAGUUAAAAAGAAAAAUGCUUUGAAUUCUUUAUAUUUAGUUUUAUAUAUAUUACUACUGUGUUCGUAAAUCUAAGGAUGCACACAUUAAUUAGAAAAUUUACAACUUAUAAUAAUAUAUUAACAAUGCAUAAGAAGUACCUAUGGUGGUGCUCAAUAAACAAUUAAACGUAGUGGAGGUGGAGAGUUGCAGCAUUUGCCCACACGAGGACAAGGUCGAGAAUCGAGAUUGAGAGAUCGAAAGAAUCGAGAGAUCGAGAUCGAGAGAACGAGAGAAUCGAGGGAAACACAUAGCGAACAGUGUAAAACAGUUAGAAGCCCUGUGAGUGCUUCGGAAAUCAAGCACCACGAUAUCUAAUCAUAAGAUACCGAAGAGAUUGUACACAAGGAAAAGUAGCAUAUCCCAGUCAAAAUCAAGGACCGGGAAACAGUAAAGUAAAGAAUACAUUUGACACGGGGUGGAUCGCAUGUUUCUCUGUCUCCCUCCCGGCUUUGCGAUCGACGCGUCCCCUUUCCCAAAAGAACAAAAAAAGAAAAAGAAGAAGAAGUACGUACGCUUCUCCACACAAUACAUGCUAAUUCAACCCGCACACUGCUCAACAUUACUACACUUACACAAUGCAUGUUAACCAACUUUGAGUUCUAGGUAGAGUACACUAGCUUAUACAAUGCACGCUAGCCAUCUUAAUUUCAGUUAUAUAUAGGCAUGGAGAGACAGGGUGACAACAAAGGCCUUCAUGAGCUUGUAAUUUUAUUUUGCGUGAUAUCAUAUGCGGUUGUAGUUGAAGGAUGGUGAUGUAGGAGAAGAAUGGAAAGAGCGGUUUUAACGGCGGCGGGCGGCAGUCUCCCUCUGAGCGUUGAAGUAGACGGCAGCCACGGGGAGGCCGAGGUCGUUCUCCUCCGCAAAUUGACGGGUGCUGAAGUGAUCCCUGGAGGGAGGAGGGCUGACGGCCUGCCGCCGCUUCUGCUUGAAGAGGACGAAGAUGAACCUGUGGAUGCCUAUGUUGGGCCUUGGGCUCUCAUAGCUCACGAUCUCCCUCCCUGUGUACAGUACGUAGUACCAUUAAUUAAUUAAGCAUAUAUACCAAACUAUAGUUGCUUUUCGUCUUCCUCUAGUUUGGGAAAUAUGUGGCAUUAUUAAUUCUUAACAGGAAACUAGAGAUAAACACACAAGAGUGGAGAGAUGACCCACCAAAAGAAGCGUCAGUUGUGCCAGGAAUGUCGGUUACAAUCCUGUGCAAGGGUCAAGGGGAAUGGUUAAACACGUUGCCAUUGCCUUGAAAAGCAGAUAACUUUUCUUCAGUAUUCUUGAAAAGUUGAACUAUACCCAUGUUACAUGUUUGGAGGGUUUACAAAUUAAAGGCAAGUAGACAACACAACAUCAAUCUACGUGCAUUCAUGCAUGCAUAAUAAUUAAGAUACAUCUUUAAUUAAUACGUUUCUUCAUAUACCACACACAUAUUAAUAGAGGAUAUAUAUAUAGGGAACGGUUUAUAUUAGUUGUUAGGGUUUACCAGUGCAGGUGCUCCCUUAGGUAUGGAUCACUCGGACCCGGCACAUCUGGGUCUGUCAUAACCUGACAAGAAUGAAAAUAGAAGUAAAAAUACUAUAGAAGAGCACACACGUAUAUAUAAGAGAAAUUUUACUGGGAUCCUUAAACUUGAAAUUGAGAACUAAUAACUAUAUAUGUACAUGAUCGAUAUAGGCACGUACCAGUGUGAAGAACGAUCUCAUGUCUCCGCCUUGGACCUCAACUCUAGGUUUGGAUGCGACUGCGGAAGGGUAGAACUCAUGGCCAUUGAAGACCAGCUUGUUGGAAUUGUAGGUGACCACCAUCUUCAUGCUCGGCUCAAACGAGUCCAACACUUCUCCUAUCACCCUCCCAACAAUAAGAGGCUCCAGCAAUCUCGACAUGGUCGAUCGGUUAAUUCAGUCGUUCAAAGGUGAGAAAUAUAUAUAAACUAAUUAACAAGCUAUGUAUAUAUAUAUAUAUACAUAUAUAUGUAUAUGUAGGGUUGUGGAGGAAGUGGCUCGGUCGUUGCUAGUGGAUUGAGGAGGCUGUUUGCCUUUGAGAAGAAGGCUUCUUAUUGGGCAAUAUGAAAGUGCAAAGCCUCUAUUUAUAGCACUUAAGACAAGUACUGCUGUACAUCAAGUUCCAAGCUCAAAAGAGAACUGCGAAGCAGGAGCCACAAGUGUAGCAUUUUUAAUUAUAAUGGAAUAUAGAAGCUAAAAAGCAACAGGAUGAAUCUAUCUCGAUCCUACUGUUCGUUGAUAAACAAAAGAGGUCCCUUAAACCUGUUUUAUCUUCUACAAUGAACAGCUAAGUAAUCAAUUGCAUGCGCUCUUUCAAAAAAGAACUGCAUGCAUGUAGUAGCUAGCUCUUAAUUUCAGAAAGAACCUUUGUCUACUCCACUAAAAUGAUUAUCUACACUAGAUAAUAAACGCCGUUUAAUCAUGUAUUGAUUAGGUACAUUGUUAAGCUACCUAAUUAAUUAAAGUACGUUCGAGAUCUUUCAAUUAGUACUCAAAAUCGUGCCUAAAUGACUCGAAGGAUCAACUAAUUAUUAAUUCACACAUCUCGACGUGACAGGUAAUUAAGCAAAUUAAUUUAAUUAAUUAAUGAGGAAUAGCCGGAAAAGUAAAGUUCUUAACAUGAUAAUAAGUGCUUUCAGACUGAAACCGUAAAUUCUGCUUGAUUAAAAAGCCGCAAAAGAAUUUGAAAUUGGAGAUGGUUAAUUCGUUUAUUCUACUACUAACUUUUCUUACCAUUGGCCCAUAUUAAUUUGACGAGGGAACAGGUAAUGUGAACUCUCCAUAUGGAACCUUCCUAAUUAACAUCCAUUUAAUAUAUUGUUAAUUAGGAAAAGGAGGAUUCAAUAGCUGGAGCCUGUGAACAUGUAGAGCAAGCACCACACUGGAAGUAGCUGUUGCACUCUUUUUUUGUUAAGGUAAAAAAAGGUGAGUAGCUGAGUUGGGUGCUAUAGGAACCUUCCCAAACAGCACUGCACCCAAAUGACUUACCAUUAGUGGUUAUUAUUCUCUGAGAGAGGGGGAGGAGGAGGAGGGGAGAGCAUAAAAGGGAGACCCACCACCCCACAUAGUGAUAGUGGCCAUAGUGUUGAGAUGUCAUUUCAAAGUAAAGAGAUCCAUGUGUUCUUGAUAAGGAAAACAAAGGGGUUUAGUUUCUAUAAAUGGUGGAGCUAGCAAAGUACUUCUUUGUGGCAUUCCUCCACUCUGGAACAAAGAUUUUUCUUAUGUGUUACCAUGCACCAUGCACCUAUCUCAAGCAACACCCACCCAUAUUCUACCUGUUUCGGUGUCAAACUAUUAAUUUACUGUUUCAUAUUCAAACCACCCAAUAGAAACAGUUUUGGGUCUACCGGUGACUCUGGUCUCACAAGAUUAUUCUUUUAUUCCGGUGGCGACAUCCGGUGCUCGUGGGUACAAGGAAAGGGAAAGUCACUGUGGUGUGAAGGUGUCCGUGACGACAGGGGUAAAUGGUAGGUUUCCGUAGAAUAUAGGAAAAGAAAAAGUUUUUUUUUUGUGUGUUUUUUAUUACGUUGGAAUCUGUAAUGAGAUACGUGGGUUUUUCCCGUGAAAACCACGUACCCCUGAUUUUUUUUUUUCUACCCCUCCACUCUAUUCCGAGUUUCCUUUUCCCCCUCCAUUAAUUCCUCACAACGCACACAAGUACCCAACCUAAGGACAACUUAGGCAUUCUAAACAUCUCACAUAAACAAUCGAGCAGUAGGUUUCUAUUCCAUUACCUAGGCCAAAACCUAUCUAUCAAUGUAAGACAUUGUUUUUAAAGUCUAAAAAACAAAUACGAGUAAUUGAUAAGAUAAGACCUAUUGACAUCGGCUUUCAUUUUUAUAUUCGAUCUAGUUUUUUUUGAAUCCUACGAAAACAGAUCAGUAUCGCGCACCGACUACUUAUUUUUUUGUCGAUAGAAUUAUGUAUGGCUGGCAAAGAUCUCGUUCACCGUUCUUUAAACCACCAACUAUGAGCUCUAGGGUUCAAGCUUAGGAUCAACUAAGUAUAAAAGUCGAUUCAAAUAAAGAUUUACUUUAUUUGUUUCGUCGAUCGUACGAUAGAUAGAGAGUUUUUUUUUUUGUUCCCUUUAGUUCCUGAUUUAACAAUGUUAACUUUGGGCCAACCGCGUUAAUUUUAUACUCCAACCUAACCUCCUUAAAUCCUGAUUCGACAAGGGGUCACAAUUAACCAGGCAAUUACUAGUUUGUUGGAGUAUUACCUUUUUUGUUACCCGGGGUUUUUCAUAGAUCCGAGUACUCUGUUUCGGUACAACCCUUGAACACCUAAGCGUAUCACUCUAGGAAACUCUAGGUGUUGGUAAGUUAUGAGUGAAACAAAGGUGAAAUUAAAGAAGCGUUUUACUAUAUAGUUUUUAAUUAAUUGGAUGGUUGGCAGGGAUAGUAUUUACUGUUUCCCGAACCACUAACUAUAGUCUCUGGGAUUUAAGCCUAAAAUUAAUUAAGUAUAAAAAUCGAUUUAAAUAAAAAUUUAUUUUAUUUAUUUCACCCAUAUUACGAUAGAUAGAGAAUUUUUUAAAAAAUUAAUGUACCAUGACGAGUUGAAGCUAGCUUUUCAUAAUUACAUUAAUAUACGAGUCGCAGCUAGAUUUUCAUAAUUACAUUAACAUCCGGGUGACAUUGACGACAGUAAGAGUUUAGCAAUACGUUGUGUUUCCUAAUAGUGACUAAAAAGUAAACGCACUUCUUGAAGUCUUUAAGAUAGUCGGAUAAGUUAGCUUAUCUUAAUAUUAAAUCUCUUUUUUUUUUUCUUUUCACAUCGGUUAACUCGCUCCGUAUUUUAAUUCCGCCGUAUUCUCUCUCUCUUUUCACUUUAAUUUNAUGGGCGGAGGAUCUCCUCUCUCGACUCUCUCUCUCUCUCUCUCUCUCUUUAAAAAAUUAUUAAUUUACCAAUGAAUUUCGUUGCUUUACGCAUAACUGUAUACUAAUAAGAACGAGGAUAAAUCUGAUUGCCGCAGGAGAAGAUAAGCAACUUGAGCUACAUUUGAUAAAGACCCAGCAUCAGUAUAUUGGUCCCCUUUUUUUUGUUGUAAUAUGAAGUUAUUUUUAACAUAUAUGUAACUAUCGGUAAAGAGAUAUAGUUGUUACUUGAAGUUAUAAAGAUAUUACACUUUAAGCAAUUAAAUUAAAUUUUGUAUUUUAUCAAAAAAAUUAUUUUUUUUGUUUGAGAGAUAGGUAGCACGCUACCUGCUUCGUUUAUUUCAUUUUUAGAAAUAAACUUAGCUGAAAAUGUGAAUCAACUAGGAUUCGAACUUGGGUCUUAUGUACCAACCACCAAGCCCUUUGCCACUUGCUCUAGGGACGGUCGGUUUUGUUCCCUAAAUUUUAAUCUGACAAAUCAGUCUAUGGAGAGGUGGUAAAUAACGAUUUUUUUGGAUGAAAUAAAGUUAUAUAUGAAGCUGUACAAAUUCAAGUAUCUAAAUUAUAUAAAUAAUUAACUAUGUAAAAAAAAUUAAGGUCAAAUUUCAGAAACUAAGAUUGUAAUUAAUCCUAAAAACCAGGGUAUGGUACUAAUAUGAUUGUGAAUGAUCACUGUACCACAAGCUGAUCCAAUUAGGAGGAUUAUUGAACGACCAACGUGACACAGAAUCAAAUCUAUAAUAUCCAACAGAUUACUAUAUUUGUCGAGGAAAAAUCCAUUUAUCUGAUGGUGAUGCCCCAAUAACAGUAAAAAUAGAUCUCUCUUUAUGUGACAGGUAGACUAGAGGAUCGAGCUGGCUGAAUGGUUCCAUCACGUAUUGGCCUCACUCAGAAAAAAAGGUCUUUAUUGUUUUUUGGCGAAAUAAAGUUUUUUUAAUGUUUUAAAACUCGAAACACCCAUUACGAACAGUAAAAAUGCCAGAUCACAGUUUAACUGGUUUAAUGAGUGGUUCAACCGGCUGAAUUAGUGACGAGAGCAUAAUGUCAUAAUCAAGUUAAAAAUAGUAAUAUAUAUAUAUAUAAAUUUUAUAAACUUUUUUCUUUAAAAAAAGCUAAACAAACGGAUCAAACCGUCCAAUCAAUAAUGUAUGAUAAGUGAUAAGUGAUAAGUGAUAGUACGGACUAGUUUAAUUUAAAUUAGGCCAAAUCAUUGGUUCACUAGUUUGUAGGUUGAACCACCGGUUCAACACGGGUUUUAAACUUUUCUGGCUUUAUGGGUCGAAUUGAACUGAUCUAGAGACUUGGGCACAGUCCGACCGGUUCGACCAGGCAGUUUGUAGGUUGAACCACCGGUUCAACACGGGUUUUAAACUUUUAUGGCUUUAUGGGUCGAAUUGAACUGAUCUAGAGACUUGGGCACAGUCCGACCGGUUCGACCAGGCAGUUUGUUCCGAUUCUUAAAACAACUAGAUGUUUUUAGAUGGGAGGUUUUGAACAGUAACACAAAAGUAAGAUUAUAUCCUAGUUGGCUUUUUGGUGGGAUACAGGCUAUGAACUCUAGCUUUGCUUUGAUUUGGCGUGUGAGUAAACAAAGUUUAGUUUCAAAAAAAAAAAAAAGAAGGUAAAAGCAAAAACGACAAAGGAAAUUUUAUGAGCCGAUCAAAGCAAUUGGUAUAGUUCAAAAGCCCUAUGCAUAAUAUCAGGAUUAUUAGUUAGAUUUUAGCUUUGGGACGGGCUAAUUAGCUUGAGCUUUAGGUUGAGCACCGUCAAAACACUUUUUUUUCUUUUUUUUUUCUUUUUUUUUGAGAUAGGUAGCACGUUACCCGCUUCAUUUAUUUCAUUAUAAAAAACCUUAGCUGGAAUGUAAAUCAACUAUGAUUCGAACUUGAAUCUCGGAUACCAACUAUCAAGUUUUUUGCCACUUGCUCUAGAAACGGUCGGUAGUACUGUCAAAACACUACUAACAAGAUUUUGUGGGAAGGCAAGAAGCAUUGAUUCUGAAACAUAACUAAAAGCUGCUGCUCGAGCAUUGCUUUCGCGCAGCCGGGGCUUGUAUAUAUGCAGGUUCGAUGUUUCUGGACAUUGACAUGCAAUUAUCGUUCUUGAUCGACAUGGUGCACAAUUGCCUUUUGAGUAAAGUUAUUCUUAAAAGCGACGCGGAUGUUUUAUAUUGAAAAUUUUCCUUAAAGAUCUCAUCCAUAGCUAAAGCAAAUACUUUAAAUUAGAGUUUAUAAUCUUAAACCACAAAAGUAUGUUUUUACAAAAAAAAUAAAAAUAAAAAUAACACUUUCUAUUGAUCUUGUGCAUGGUGUCGGACUCGUUCUGCUGCUACUUGUUAGCUCUUGAUUUUCUAGCGGGCACUGACAAGAAGAACCAUAAUAUAUAAACUGAAGUAAAUUGUUCUGAUAUCUAUAGUAGUCCUUUAAUGGCACUUUAUUUCUGAUGCUACUUCGAUAUUAGUAAUUUUUUAUUUAUGAUGAUAUAUUAAAGUGAACUGAUAUUGGUAGAUAUAAUAUGCAUAUGCCUGACAAUAGUAGUAAAUAUUAUUUUGACAAUUUUCAAUUCCCUAUUAUAUUAAAAGGGUUGGGCACUAUUUCCCCCCCCCCUUUUUUUAAUGCAAUAAGUCAGUGAUACAGUGUCCGACCCAGCAGAUAAAAGGUGGCUUGGAUUGUUAGUUGGGCUUUAAAAAAGGUAGGCUUGGGGCUCGGCCAAUCCCAGGUUUGGGCCCAUGCAUCAACAAAAGACGAUGGCCUAUGAAUGAGAAAUUAUCGCGAUGCACUUGUACAGCUUCUACACUGCAGAUUAUUCCAUCCGUCGCACCUAGUCAAUGGCCACUCCCAAAAUGCUGUAGCUUUUGAAGGGGUUAAAGCUUUGAUGCUUAAUUAAUUGAUAGUUAGUUUGGUUUGGUUCGGUUCACGGGAUAUGUACAAAUGCACCCGGUUCACACAAUAGCUUCUUUGUAAAGUGCAAGCCCGGCCCAUCAAAGGAGAUGGCCCAAAGAUGCUUUAGCGAAGCCCACAUUCUUUACUCGUGGAGCCUGAGCGCAAGGGCUUAACGAUCGGGUGCGAAAUUAGGGUUUAUCUCAGGCGGGAACUUCGCCGCUUGGGAGCGAAGAAAUCUAGUUGAAAGGUCCACCUUUAGACUAGCAGUAGGGUUUAGGGUUUUGCAGAGUGGUGCAUAUCGCCCUCUUCAUCUCCUCCCUUGUUCGCUUCGAUCUCCAUGCUCUGCUCUCUUCGCCACUCGAUUGGUAUUUGGCGGCGAUCGACAAAUCCUGCUUGUGAGUUUCUCAUCUCAUCCUAUUUGAGCACCAUCUUAGCUUUGAAUUCACCCGAAGAAGUGCCCAAUUAUGAACCAGAACCCGCUUGCGCACUCCACGAUCAAAGCUUCUAUCAAAACCCUCAGCGAUUUCUCGGAAAAAACCUUGCUUUGGGGCGCCAUGAGAGUUUGGAGCCUACCCUAAUCGGGCUCCGAAAACAGAUGCAGGAAUGCGCAAAAGGUGGGGACUUGGUGGGAGCUUUUAAUGCUAUGAGGUACAUGGAACCCACUGUUCUCGAUUACAAUGCCCUGCUUUACCGUUAUCUCAAAUCGGAUAAUGUUUCGGGGGGUGAAUUGGUGAGGAUUUUUGAAAGAAUGAAGAGAUUCGGGCCGUAUCCGAAUGUUUGGACUUUCAAUGUGCUCUCUAAUGGAUUUUGUCGAUUGGGGUUAUUGGAAGAUGCUGUAAAUAUGCUCGAGGAAAUGUCUAGCUAUGGAUUCGUUCCUUCUUUUACAUCGCUGAAGAUAUUGUUGAAUAAGUCAUUAAGUUCAGGGAGUUAUGGAUUUUCUUGCAAAGUAUUAAGUUUGAUGUUACACUUGGAUUAUCCGCUAAGCUUGCAAGUUUUGAACAGGCUUAUAUAUAGUCUCAUCAAAGUUGGCAGAGUUAGUCUGGCUUAUGACAUUUUCUCAAUGCUUUUGAAUAAGGGUUUUAAGCCCAAUGUGUAUACUUAUAAUCCUAUUCUUCUUGGCUUAUGCAAGUGCGGUCAGAGCUGCACUGCGUUAUCUCUUUUCUUUGCCUUGAGGAAGAAAGGAUUUUGCCAUAAUCUUUAUUCUUAUACAGCGUUAGUUCUUGGGUUCUGUAAGGAAGGACUUUUGAAAGAGGCUUAUCAAAUUUUGGAGCAAAUGCGGAACGAAGGAUUGAAGCCUUCUGUUGUUACAUACACUAUAUACAUCAAGUUUCUUUGUAAGUAUAAUAAGAUCGACGAAGCCCUGGAUAUUUUUCAUACACUGGGAAAAGAAAACAAACAUGCAGAUCUGGUCUUGUAUAAUGUACUUCUCCAUGCUCUUUGUUAUCAUAACAGGAUGUCAGAAGCCCGUAAAUUGGUCCAUUGCAUGGAAGAGAACGGUUUGCUUCCUGAUCGUUUCACAUAUUGUGCUUUAGCUGGAGGUUUAUUGAGAUCUGGGUAUGUUAAGAGGUGCCAAACUCUUUUAUGUAGAAUCCUUUCAAGCACCAGUUUUGCGGAUGUUGUCACUUGGAACAUAUACUUCCACAGCUUAUGCUGUGAUGGCAAAGCUAGAGAGGCAUUAGCUACUGUAAAUUCCUUGGUAGAGAAAGGAUUCACCCCCUCAGUUGUGACAUAUAACACCAUUUUGAAAGGGUUUGUUAGGGAGCAGAACAUUGACGAGGCCUUAGAGAAGUUAGACCAGUUUCAUUGCGAUGAAGUUGGACCCGACUUGAUUUCCUUCAAUACGAUAUUGUCUGCAGCGUGCAAGCAGGGAGACUCUUCUAUUAUCCGGAGGGUUCUCGAUCGUAUGGACAUUGAAGGAGUCAAGCUUGACGCUGUUAGCAUGACGUGUUUAAUUCGGUAUUUUUGUAAUUCCGGGAAGUUUAUUGAGAGCUUUAAGCUUCUGAAACAUAUGAUAUGUAAUGGUCACAAGCCUACCACAUUAACCUAUAACGUUCUUCUUGACUGCCUUUGCAAGAAAGGGUUGGUUAUAAAUGAAUAUAAAUUAUUGCACAACUUCAGAUACAUGGGAAUUGAUCCAGAUACUACUUCCUAUAAUAUUCUUAUACAUGCUUCAAUUAAGAAAGCUGAUUAUUUUACAGCUGAGCGCUUGUUAAAGGAAAUGUACAGCCAAGGAGUGAUGCCUGAUGCUGUCACUUAUGCAUCUCUAAGCUAUGGUUUUUGCAAAGAGGGGAAUAUAGCUGCUGCCUUGAGUUUGGAGCACCAGAUGUUGGAGAAUGGAGUGAAACCAAGUGUCUCGUAUUACAAUACAAUAAUGGAUGCUAUGUUUAGAAUGGGCAGGCUGUGGGAUGUCUUCUUACUUCUCAGCAAAAUGGAAAUAGAAGGAAUCCAGCCAGAUAGCAUUUCCUUAAAGAUUUUGAAUCGUGCAAGUGCCAAAGGUCGAAAGAAACAGUUUCCAAAUGCCAUGAAGGUUCUUGAAAUACUAAUGAAGACAGCCAGUAAUUCGUCUGGAUUGGAAGCAAAUUGAACCACUCGGCUUCUAAUGAACUAUUUGCUCAUGGUUGAUCCCAGACUCGGUGCUGUAUUUAACUCAGGAGGUAUGCUUGUUAUUUUUCAUCAAUGAGGUACUCAUCUGGUUUCAGGUAAAAGUAAAACUUUUUUUUUAAAAAAAAUUCCUUUAGUUGGUCACAAGAAUGAGCUACUGAUCUACAUUGAUGAUGCUUGAGGAGGAACCUAAAAGAUAAAGGGAAAUCCUGUUUUUGGCCAAGGUCAGUUGGAUUCACUUUCUGCUGUAUUUCAUUUUCAGUUCAACUUUAGAUAAGUAAAUUAUGCCUAUGCAGCACUCUUUCAUAUAUAAAACUAAAAUAGGGGAAUCAUUUGAAAGUUGCACGCUAGCUUUCAUUGGUAUGGACCAAUGAUUUGAUGUUGAUUAAAUGAGAGCUACCGAGAGCUUUAGUUACUCUUUUUCCCAUUCUCUGGCUAUUUGUUAACAAAACAAUCUGAAGAGAAGAGUACACAAGGAUCUAUUUGAUGCUUAGGGCUUGUUUGUUUGUCCGUAAGUGAUUUUCAGAUUGAAUUUAGGUUGAAAAUCACUUCUAAUUAAACUGAAAUUCAAGUGGAAUUUUUUUUUCCACCGCUAUUUGUCUGAUAGGAAGUCAAUGGCUUUGAAACUGUAGUUAUUCCUUUUUGUUUUUUUUUUUCCUUUUUUGUUUUACUGAAAAUUUUCACACUAGUGAAUUAGAGGGCAAAAAAAGUUACAACAUUUGAUUUUUUACUAUUUUUUCUGGUCUCUCUCUCGUAAUUGACUUCAGCACCCCUCAUAACGAAUUUAGUUACGAUAUUUUGGGAAAGUAGAGUCACCGGUAAAUUUAAUUUAGGCCAAACCAAACAACAAAAGUGAGUAUUAAUAAUUUCCUCUACUUUCAGUAGAACAGGCAUGCCCUUAGUAACUUAUUCGACUAUCACUCUAGCAUGAUUUUGCAACUUUUUUGUGCAGUACUACAGAUUAAAAAGAGCAUCCGUGAAAAGAAAAGGAAAAAAGAGCAUCCGUGGAAAUUAUCUUGUUAUCAAUCUUUUUCGUGCUUUGAUUUGAAAUUGUGAGCUUUCACAAUGUUCACAGGAUGUCAAGAUUAUACUCUUUUGGCUUCGCUGGCUUGGCCAGACCUCGUACUUGAAUAGCUCUGUAUGUUGGGUUACCCGGAACAUAUCGAGUGUCAGAGAUUUGGUGCCAACCUUUAUACGGUGAAUAUUACCAGCUUCUUGUGGCUUUGAAGCUUGCUCUUCAGGUCAGUAUGUCUUUUAAUUAUGUGAAAAAUGAUAAAUGCUGCCAUAUUUUUCUUUUCUUUCCUGAGUACUGUUGUUGGAAUAAUUUUUAAAAAAUAUAUUGGAAUUUCAAUCAGGUCAGAUAUCUUGAAGCUCAUGUAAGAUGGCUGAACCUUACUUCUCCAGAUCAAAUUGCUUUGGAUGAGAAAGAUUCAGAUGCUUGUGCUGCUCUCAGAAGAGCGGUAAUAUGCGACAGUAAGAAUGAAAGUAAGACAAUGUAUGCACCAAGGUCGCUCGAUACAAAAGUUCCCCUCUGUGCAACAGAGGAUAAUUGAAGCGGAGGAAAAUGAGGAUGAGAAGGGCGAGUGUUUUUCCGAGAACCAAAUAGCAUUUUACUUAUGAGAGAGCUGAAAGAGAAAGACGAAGCGAAUGCUUCACCUCGGUUGAAGAUGGUAAGCAUGCAUCCUUUACCAAAAGUCUCAAAGCAAGAAAAUAAAUGCCUAGAUAUACAGACUCCCUUUCUCAAGGGAGUAAAAACAACCUAGCAAGUCAUCUUGUCUCGUCGUGCCCUAGUGAUGGUGGGUUGGUAUUUUCUCUACUCUGAUGCCGUGUUCUUUAAUUUUGCUAGUCAAACUGAAAAUAAUUUGUAAAUUUUCUGCGUAUGUUCCUCCCCCUCGACCGUGAUAGACCGUCACAUGUAACUAGGCAACGAUCUCAAAGGAUGCCAAUAAAAUGGACCGUGAAAAUAGUCCCUAUUUGGAUGGAAAAAAGUGAUAGCUAGGUGGAAGCAAAUCCAAGAUCGGAGUCGAUGCGUUGUGAUGCAUAGUCUCUCAGUGGAGUGGGGGUAUUUGCGUUGUGUGUUUGUUGCUGAAGUAAUGGGAAUGCGUUACCUACCCCAUCGCACUUUGAUUAUGGGUUUUCUAUUUCUCAUUAUUUUUUGCGCUUGAAAUGUUAGAUACGAUUAGCCGAAAGAAAGAAGGUCCGCUGUGUGAAGAAUAUUUAUGUUAUCAUUCAACAAAAUGGAUUUACGGUCGCCGGGCAGUCAGAGUUGUUUUGGUAAGCUGCUGGCUGCUGCAGAAAGUUCUGCCAGCUUCCACACGAUAGACAGACGGUAGAGGAAGUACUUGUCUCUGCACUCUCCAGCCCAGGAGAUUGACAAAUUCGUGGCCUUUUUGGGCCUUCGCAUAACAGAGCACCUCAAAAUGUUACAACGAAAUGACAUCAUUUUACACCAACAAGAAAAACACCAUCGUCGUGGUAAUAGUAAUCAUCAUUUCCCGCUUGGAUCAUCAUUUCCCGCUUGGAUUGUGAAUAAUAAUAAAUCCACAAAAUUCUACGCACCUUGUCUCUCUAUUCCGAGAUGAUCUCUCCUUUGGGCCCGAAUCUCUUCUUUAGCUCACCAAGCUCCUCCGGGCUGAGCCCAAAAGCCUUCUCCAGAAGCCCAUCCUUGAUCCCGGAUCCGAACACCGUGCUCGGUAUCCUCACCACGCCCGGAUUCUCGCUGUUGAAGCUCCCGAAUAUGGUCGCCGGGUUGUCCCCGACGUUCAUCUGGAAAUGGAUCAUCCCUUUCGGGAACACCAUCACCUCCCCCUUCUCGAUCACCUUGGCGUAGACCCGGCCCACCGAGUCCACGAACCCGGCGUAGACGCGGCCCGCGAGGACCAGCGCGGUCUCGGUGGCCCGCGGGGGGCUAGGUCGGCACGUGCGAAGGACGUGCCGAGCGUGUGGAGGCCCGGGAACUGGGCCGGGCCCACGGAGAGGCCCGCGAACCCCAUCUGGUUCGAGAAGUUGCCCGGGGCCCGGAUCCCGGAGAAGACGAAGUCGCCCGCGGUGGAGUUGGCGGGGCUCUUGCACGGGUACGUGGCCAGCCGGGCGAGCUCGACCGGGCCCGAACCGGAGUCGGGGACGCAGAAGUCCUGGACCGGGUCCGAGUCCGCGGUCGACCGGGGGAGGAGGACGAGGAGGAUGAGGAAGAAGAGGGGCGCCAUGGGCUAGUGACCUCGGUGUCUCUGGAGUCUGGACCAGGGCUACUAAAGCUUUUAUUGGAAUAAGGCGUUUAUAUAAAAUACCUAUAAAGGUAUCGGGGCUCUCGUUAUAAUGUGAAAAUAAAAAUGUGCGUUGGCUUUUUGGCAGAUUAGAUAGUGGGUGGUCCCUGACUCCCUGGUUUUGUCGUCGGCUAUAGCAACGUUGAUUUUUGAUUUGUCGGGAGAGGCUUCUGUUAUACGUAAGAGGUAGGAGAGGCGAUUGUGGAGGAUAUUUCUUAGCGAAGUUUUGUAAGUAAGGUGGGUAUGGUGAUUGGGUAUAUAAGUUAUGAUUUAUUAGGAUUAUUACUGAUCUUUCCUUUAAUCAUAAGCGCGCAGCUUAAAGAGUUUCUUUUACUCCUCUCCAAUAAACAAGGGAUGGCUUGGAAAAUCCGCAUACCUUUUCAUGAUUAUGAUGAAUGAAGAAAUUUCAGAUAGUCAUAUUACCAGCUGUUUGCUGCUUUGUUUAAGUUUGGUAAGAUUCCGGAAGAGCGCACAUUCCUUGGAGAAACAAGAUUCAAACUCGGACCGUAUAGCCGUAAAAGUAGGUUGCCAAUCAAUAUGUUCUCUUAUAAAUUCUAAAUUACAAUGCCAUGAGCCUCACACAAUGUUCGUUUUACACGUAUGGAUGUGGAGCUGUUUGAGCAUGAGAAAACCACCUAUGCCAUCCCAGACAUGGUAAAGCCCACGUUUAGUCCACAGCUUGAAUAUCCUACCUGGGCCUUAAUAGCACUGCACUUUGCAACUUCAACCCUGCCUAAAAGCUGCAGUAAUUGCAAAUUAAGGUGGCACGUGGAACCAAAUAAGCCUUGAAGAAGCCAAUAAACUACACUACAGGUGGUUAUCUUUGCUAAUCUAUACAUUAUUCCUCCACGAGAGAUGCGAGAAUCAGAAGGGAUGCCAUCCUGGUGUUUCCUUCCCUGUUCUGCAAUUUAUCAGAUAUGUAUAAGAACUGGUAUCUCAUAUCUAUUUUUGAUAGGAGCUAUUUUUCAGUUCUGCCCAGUUAGAAGGCAAGAAGCAGUCACUCUUAAGCGGCAAACCUAUUAGAAAUAUUCGAGGCUUAGUUGCCUCACCUUGUAGCUCAGUUAAGUUCCUUAUUGAAUGAAGCGAUAGCAUGCUACCUUUUCUCAAAAAAAAAAAAAAAAUAUACAUAUGUCACUCUCAGAAUAUGACCAAAAAAAAAAAAAAAAAAAAAAAACCUAUCUGAAAUAGUAUGGACUUGUUUAUUCCGGACAAAACAAAAUUUGUGCAUAUCACCGCCUGAUAUCCCCGGGGUAAAGUUGGUAGCCACCUCUCAAUAUAACAUGUGCUGAAAACGGGACCGAAUAAAAUUAAGGCCCAUUGUUUAGGAGAUGUAAGAUAAACUUCUCUCUUAUUCAGCAGCAGCAGUCGAAGAUAAGGCUAUAAAACCCCGGGCUGAAGCUUCCAAGUUCACACCCAACAGAGUUUUAAGUUAGCCCAAUGGUUUGAGGUUUUAUGCAGUAACGAUUCCAGUCAACAUGCCUAAAAUAAUUACAGGAAGUUCAUGGGUACAAUAGAAGCGAACCAACACCAGCUGUGGUCCACAAUUUAGUAAGUCUCCACGAAUGUGAAGGUAUUAAUAGCUAUCUUCCUCGGUUUCGGGUCUUCGAAGGUAGUAGCGCAGACAAUUAGUCAACACCUGCAUGUUACACAAAAAGAUUAUGAGCGAAAUGUUCAUUGCUCCAAUGACCCCUCAAGAUGAGUGCAUAAUGAGAAAUUACUCGGGGGUGAAUUUUGCCUCUAUUUUUUCCCCCCUUUUACUAUUGUGGGAAGAUCAGCAAACUGUAUAUUUGUGGUCUUAUCUAUCAACUAGAAACAAAAUUGAACAAGGAAUUCUUUUUUCCUUAAUAUUCAAAAGUGACGAGUUCUGUAAACCAAACAACAUCAAGAAAAACCUACAAAAUUUCAUAUAAAAGUAUCAUAUGUUUACAUAGUUCCAACAGUUAAUUUCAGCAUUACAUAUGUUUAUAUAAUCUCUCUGGAUACUUACCUAACGGUUAGAAGAAUUACUGACUUUGCAGUAAUACUAUUCCAAGAACUUCUCAAAAAAGAAAACAUACUCUAUUGAAAGAAGGCCGAAAAGUCUCACCUGAGACAAGGAACUGUCGAUUGCUGCACCUCUGUAGCUUACGUGGAAUUUGUCCUUAGCAACCAGACCCUGUAAGAUGACAAGGAUAAGAAUACAGGAAAAAAAAAAAAAAAGCCAAUGACAGAUGCUCUUUUAAAGGGUGAAAAGAGAUGGAGCAUACUUCAGUGUCGAUCUCAGCUGAUUCAACAUCAAUAUUUAUGUCAGUUAUGAUCUUGAUGAUUUCCAGAAGUAGACCAGGUCGAUCAGCAGUCUCAAUGUAAAGCAAGCUGGAGAAUGCAGAAAAUUCUGAGGGAUAAGAAACACUUCCUUUUGGGGUGAUAAUGGAUAAAUUGAAAAUGGAAAACCGAGGGGGAAGAUUUAUCUAAUUUCCUUAUCCCAAUCAAACCGACUGUCCAAUAGACCGAACAUGUUUGCUUCAGCCAGCUCUGUUCAGUUUACUGAGGUAAUGUAAAGACCUCUAAAUCUAUACAUGCUCAUAAAUCUCUUCGAUGCAAUAACUCGUAUAGAAAUCAACAGACGAUUACUGAUCCAUCAGAGGACAACUAAAGCACCACUCAUGCACACAUCCCUACGCAUCUGUAAGUAGUCCUCCAAGAUUUGCACGUUAAAAAGAAAAUGAAUACCACCUUGAUUUAAUUAAAAAUGAUUAAAUUAGAAGCCGAUAUGGCGAUAUAUGAAUCUAGCAGUCUGGUACUGUGAUCACUUAGAAACGAUGCAGGUACGAAAUGAACUGCAAUUUCUACCAUAUUUUUUGCUUAGCGUGAAGCAGAAAAGCAGAUGAUUUGAACGAAAGAUUGUUCUCUCUACAAUAUGGCGAAAGGUCAUCAUUUUGAAAAUAUUCUAGCAAGCAGCUCAGCAUAAAAUUUUCCAAAGAAUACAAUGCCAUAUGUUAGUAUAAAAAUUUUCUUGAUAAAUACGAUGCUAAGGCAUAGUAUCAGUUACUGCACAAUCAUAUAUAUAUAGAUGCAAGAGAAUACCGGUGUUUUAAGUGACAAACCUUCUCUUUGGUCCAUCAUCUUGAAGAAGUACUUGUGUUGCAACGUCAACAUCAAGCUUCAUGUGAAGAGAUAAAGGGAUAAGGGUUCUCAGUUUAAAAUAUCAUAUAACACCACAAUAAGGAAGGCAUUAAUCUUAUUUAACAAUUGAAAUCUCAAGCUGCUAGCACAAAUGCAUCACUACAUAUAUGCCAAACAACACAUGAAAAUGCCAAGGUAAUUCAACUUUAGAGCUUGCAUGGCAAGAAUGAAAAACGUGUGGUUUAGAACAUGCUUCUAAUGAAUAUAAUAUUACCAGAAAGCCGACUCACUUGAUUGGUGAUUAAUAAAAUAAGAAAGCUUUUUACUUCAAAUUCCAUCAGAAUAUAAAAGCUGAAUUUUAAAUCACAGUGGAUAAAUCCAAGAAACAGGUGUGGAAGCCAGUAAGAAAGCUUUCCUGUCAUGUACCAACCUAAUUUCCAUGAUCAACUUCAGAUUGAACUUACACUACCAAAUAUGUGAUUCAUCGGUGGUCCCUUGUUUGCAGUGCUGAUCAAAUACUUGACGCAUGAGACAGUAUCAAAAGUCUAUCAACAGAACUCUACAGAAACUAGUGUGGCAAGCUAUUAAUAAAUAAAAUGUUGACAUUAAGACAUUUGAUAAAAUAUUUCAAAAGAAUUUUUGCAAAAUAAAUAAACAAAGAUUCCAAGAAAGCAUCCAAUUCUCAAUCCUCACAAGGAACCAACCAGCAUGAAGUAUUUGAAAUAUGUUUCUCUCAUAAAAUAUUAGAUCUAGUCACCUUCUUCUCUGGAGGUUUUAUUCCGAAAACCUCACCCAUUGCCAGCUUCUCACUGGAUUCCUACAAAUAUAUAGCUAAAUGUAGUUAGGAGAUAAAAUUCCGAAAGGAUUAUUUAAACCAGCAUAGAAAGUGAACAUACUGGAUGAUACUUCAGAAGAUUGCCGAUUAUUGUAAGACGAAUUUUUUCUAACAUGUCAGGAUUCUCAACUUUUCGUCCCCUACAGACGUUGAAAACCAACAAUUAGACGCAAAUAUAAUAGUCUAUUCCGCUGUCAUAUUAUUACAUAAAGACAAGGCAUUCCAUACGCAUACAAUGUUGGGGUAAAAAGUUUUUAGUAAUGCUGAAAAACAAGAACACCCUUCUUAGUUGUUAUCUUAUGUGAAUAUAAGGACAGGACUACUAGAAAAACUGAAUAACUCAGGUUGCAACUGCGUGAAUGAUCAUUCAAAACAAUAGGUAGAUACAGAAGUUCAGAAUCCAUCGUUGCUGUUUUUGUGCAUUAGAAGUUACAGCGAAUGCAGGACAAGGCCAGGACAGUAAUUGCAUAUUAAGAAAUGAAAGGGACACACUUAAAGUGAAAGAAAGGAACAAAGGAAAAUAAAAAAUUGCAAGAAAAAGGGGCUGUUGGGCACAAGCAAGUUGGAAGGAAGGCUGAUAUAGGACAAUAGAUAGCCUAGGCUUUAUUAAGAUUUACAGGUUGACUAAUGCACGUUGAAAUAAAGAAAGCAAAAGAAUAAAACUGUUAAGUACUUACCGUCGCAUUAUGAAGAACUUUGUUUGUACAACAGAUGCCUCAGUUGUCACUGUUCCCUUAGUCACAUCAAGGCCUAGGUCUUUGAGCGCCUUCAUCUGCAGAUGAUGAGAACCAACAUAAAAGUAAAUCCCUUCUGUUUAUCUACUAUAACCUGCAAGCCUGUCAUGUCUAUGUACAAGUAUAGUCUCACACUGAGCUGGCGAACUCCAUAGUCACUCAAUCCAGUAUUUAGUUGAUAACUUGAUAUACAGAGAAGGCAAUGUAAAGAUGUAAAUGUUUCAUGCCUAUGAGUUGGUGCAAUAAUAUGCACCAUGAACAUCAGAGUAAAUAUUAGAAAAGUAUUUCUCUUUAAUUGAUUCUAAUCUAUGGCCAUGCAAAACCACAAGGUGAACCUUGCUUCGAUCUAUCACAAGGAUCAAAGAUUAUAAAAUAGAUUGUGUUUGAAAAGUUCUCCACUCGUUAUCAAUCGACUUAGUUGCAACACAUAUAUCAGUUCAAAAAGAUGAAAGUUAUCUAAAAAAAUAUUCAUAAAAAUUUAUUAAGAAUGAAGCACAACAGCUCCACUUCCACCACACAAUUGAUAGAUUGCUUUUUGUCGUCUGCCGGGAAAAAUAUACAAAAGAGUUGAAGACAUUCAACAAACAGAUUUAACUGGUACUAGAACAUAAGUUAAGAAGAAUAGAAAAUAUUAAGUUAACCGUGUCAAGAAGUGCCCCCAGACGAUCCCCAAAGCUAAGCUGCACAAUCGUUGCAUCAGAAUCUGAGUCUUGAUCUAUCAGCACUAUCGGCAUAGGAACCGAAUCAGUCUCUCGUUCAGCCCCCUACAUAUAAUUAAUUCAUAAUAGUGAAAUUCAUUUAAAUUCGAUAUUAAGGAUGAAAAUCAAAUAUAUUCCACAGACAGGAGGAUAAGAAUUGCAAAUUAAAGAUGACCAAACAAGCUUUACUGUCUGCAUGAAUUAAACAGAACCAAGGCUUGCAUAGGAUCUCCUAAAGAAAAUUAUGAAAAGCAAGUGCAGACUUUAGUUACAAGGUCUCGCUUCUUCACUUUCUUCUUUCCAUUACCCACUUAGUAUCAUUUAAGAAUAUAAAGAUAGCUGUUUUUUUGUCUAAUAGAUAUGCUUAGACAAACAUUAGUGGCAUUGACAUAGAUAAUAAGCAUUGUGAGUUCUGAUUAAACUAUGUGUUUUAGGCCCCUUUUUUUAAUUUUUAAUUUUUGCCCGAGUGUCAGUACGAUUUUAGGUAGCCUUUCGACAGCUGAUAUGGGAAGUACAAUACAAUUACUCAAACAAUGAUAACAAUUUGUUAUUAAUUAAAAUUGAUGAAUAUAUCUUACCAUUGAAGAAGAUCCCAGAGUGUCCACAGAAUUAAUAGAAGAUUGGGAGCCGAUCCUACACCAUAUAUUUAGUACAUCGUCAGCAACAACAUGCUAAACAAAGGAAACAUCGACAGACAGAGCAUCAAGCUAAAAAACUCGGAUAACAUAAAAGCAGUUCUUACAAAAUAAAAAAUUUAAAUAUUGACUGAAUAAAUCUAGAUGUAAGAAAGAACCAUCAAACAAAGCAUCCAACUCCUUGUGCAUCCUUUUGCUCCGGAGGAGGUAGAAACAUCGAUUUGAUCAGAUUAAGUUGGAGUUGGGUCUCCUCAGAGGGGUAUGAGAGGAAAGGAGCUCCGGGAACUUACUUUCCAGCAAAAACAUAAUGAACACGAUUCCGAACAAUAAUUAACUAAGAAAACCUGGUAUAAUCACAGCUUCUCCACUUAAAAAAAAAAAAAAAUCCAUGCUUCACCAAAUUAAACCAGAAAAAAAUCACAAUAGCUCACAAAAAGUGCUCUGAACUCUAGAUUCGUCUAGAAACUACGAAGUCAAACCAAAGAAAGCGAAAGAAAGCAACAUCACAUAAAUCACUAACCCUAGAGCCAAAAACAGGAGAAUCGAAUCAACAACGAUAAGAUUAUAUCGCUGAAAAACUCAGAUUCAUGAUCACAACACAUCAAGAGUGAGGAUCCGAGCUUACCCGCGGAAAUCUCCGCUGAAGCCACCGCUUGCUGGGAGAGAUCCAUGGAGGAAGGUGGAGAACUUGCCAAGCUCGAUCCGAUAAGCGUGGUAGGAUCGGAGAAACCCUAGAGUGGAAACCCUAGAUCGGAGGAGAGGAAGGGUGGGGGAGGGGGAGGAGGAGAGCGGGUGAGAGCAGGUGAAGAAGCUCGCGAGAGCCAUUGUCGCACUCUGCUGUGGUGGAGCUGUCGCCUUUCGUCGAGAAAAGUCUCACGGGGGAAGCUCACAGGUGGUGGGGAUGAGGGCCGUUUUAUCAAAGGAAUUAUUGUAUGGACCUAGUCCACCACGUCAUCCGUAGACUGGCCAACCCUCCGCCCUUCAUCUUAUCUCUUUUUGGCAUAUCCACCGUUCAUUUGAUCUCGGAGUUUUAAAAAUGUAAAAUCUUUUUUCUUCUAAGAUGUGGAUACGUUCAAAAAGAUCGAAAUGAAUAGUGAAUGACCGUGAGGUUUACUGAUGACGUGGUGAACCUUGUUUAGGUAAUAGCUUGUCGUUUUGUAGGCCGAUAAGGUUCGAGAUGGGGCCCAUUCCUCUUGGGCCGACGCUGCCGAUUGGCCGAUUGGUUUCUCAGCGGAGCCUGGUAUGAGUGGUAGAGGCCACGUCGGAUGUCGCACGCGCGAGACCACACGUCAGCUCUCCGAGCCUGAUUAUGUCGACAACAAGGUUUCGCGUGGUCGAUGUCUACCACGUCCUCAAUGGACCCCUGAACUGGUCAAACCAGAAUACAACAUUUUUUUUUUUUCAUUUUUUGCCACCACUGCUUGUAAUUUACCCUUUUCUCCUUUAACUUCCGUUGUUUCGGGAAACGAGGAAUACAUGGCGAGCUCCUCUUCUCCACCUCUCGCCUCCAAUGGCGACGCCCUCGUGAGCUCGAGCGCCUCGCGGCAUCCUCUACUCCCCCUCCCCCCUCCCUCUUCUUCCAAUUAGGUGGUAAUUUAACCCUUCUCCACUCUAUUCGUGAUUUGAUCUAACAUAUUUUCGAUUUUUGAGUGUGUAGUAGUAGUAAGUGCUCGUAAUUUUUUCUCUUUAAAUUAUGGGGGUUUUUUUUUUAUUUUGAAGCAGUUGUUAAUGCAUUGCUAGAUCUUCCUACUAGAUACUUCGCUCAAGAAUUUCUUUGAUGAGGUAAUUGAGAACGAAGUGUUUUCUAGUUCUAAUCGGGUUUACGAGGCCUCGGAGCUUAUCGGAGAGAAUGUAUUGUCUUUGUAUCAUUUUCUGAUGUAGUUAGAAAAUUAAUUAGGAUUUAAAAGUUUUAUUUUUUGAAUUAUCGGAUUAUUACUUUAAUUUACUUUUAGAGAUUUUUAGAGAUUGUUUAGGAAUUUUUGGAGGAAAUAUUUUUUUUAAAAAAAUUAGGGAUUUGAUUUUGUGCUUCUAGGUUUGCGUGAUCUCCUCUAGCCUGUGUGCUUUCUUUUUUUUCUUACACGCUGGCAAAAUUCUUUCUUCCUUAAGGUUAGUUUCGUGAAUUUUUUCUCCAUAUUUUCUGAAAUUUUGUCUAUUUUCUGCAUCUUUUUUAUGUAGUUUCCCAUUUUUAGUGCAUCCUAAAGGAUUUACAGUAGCCUUAUUUUUUUCUGUCUAAUCUGAUAUCUGUCAAAGCCCACAACAGUUGAGCAAUGUUCACUAAUAAGAAUAAUCCUUAAAGUUGAAAAAGAACAAAAGAGCAACAUGGUCACCUAGGAUCUUUAUAUAUAUAUAUAUAUAUAUAUAUAUAUAUAUAUAUAGUUGAGCUAAAAUACUAUCGAUCGCAAACGGGCUCCGUUGUCACCCAUUUGUUUUCAAUGAUCAAGUCUCCAAAUCGACGAUCGGCACCGUUGAACAUGAUCUAUACCACUUGAAGUAUUUAGAAAUCAAAUUUCAAAUCUUUUCGACAUCAUUUGCCCAAUGAUCAAAGGGUUUCAAAAUUUAUAAUUUUAAUGGUUUGUUUGACGUGUUUCUCGUUUAACAGCAUAAAGAUAUCCAAAUCAAUUAAAUUUUGUUAGAAAAUUUUUUAAACUAUUUAAAACAAGAUCUAUACCUUGAUCUUUGAUUAUAAGACUCAUAUCAUCAUUUUUUUUAAGAAUAUUCAUUCAGCCGUUCAUUUUUAUGUCCACUCGAUGGAUAGAGAACAAUAUCGAAAUAUAUGAAAUUGAUUUUUAACACUUCAAGAAGUAUAGAUCAUGUUCAACGGUGCCAAUCGUCGAUUUGGAGGCUCCAUCAUCGAAACAAAGAUGGGUGGCAACGAAGCCCGUUUGCUACGAUAGUAUUCUAGCUCAACUCUCUCUCUCUCUCUCUCUCUCUCUCUCUCUCUCUCUCUCUCUUAAUAUAUAUAAUUAUUAUAGAUAUAUAUAUAUAUAUAUAUAAAACUAGGCUGGAAUACUAUCAAUAGCACCAAGCUAUUGGUGCUAUUAGUUUUUUAACUUUAAUAUAUAUAACUUUUAGGGAGCGUUUGGUUCGCACUAUGAAAAAUUACUAGGAGUAAAAAGAUAUCAAAGAAUCUUAUUUCUAUUCAUCCUAUUACUAAGAAUGUAGUAUUUCGGUGUUUGGUUCGUACGGUCAUAUUAUUUAGUCAUGUUAUUUAAGAUUACGAAAAAUAUACAAUUAAUUAAUUUAUUUAUUUAUUUAUUUUUAAAUAAUACUAUAAAAAAUUUUAACAUCUUUUUAGAAAAAAAAAGAGAGUAUAAUUAAAGACAUAGAAAGAAAAAUAGAGUCGAGAUUAGAGAGAAUGAGAGGAUUGAGAUUUAGAAAAAGAGGGGGAGAAAUAGCUUAAUUUAGAGAGAGAAAAAGAGUUAAAGUUUAGAAAGAAAAAGAUAAGUUUAGAAAGAGAUAUGAGGUUAGAGUGUAAAAAAAAAUAAUACCAAUUAGCCGGCGGAUGGGAAGAAAAAAAAAGAGAUUAGAUAUAUUAUAAUUAUUCCAAUUCAUUAAUAUAAGAAUACCCACCCUCCCUCAAAGAAAUAAGAUUAGUACUUUGGGAUGCAUCUUAUUUCCAAGUAAAUUCAGUAUUACCAACCAGAUUACUUAGUGCGUUUAGCCAAACAUCGUCAUAUUUUUUUAUUCCUAUUGGAUUACUAGGAAUCUAAAAAAGAUAGCGCGAACCAAACGCACGCUAAAUUUUAUGGGUGUUUUCACUGCACAUUGCUAACGAUACCGGAUGUCGACUAGCAUCUGUUAAUAAAGUGCAGGGAUUACAUAGUACUAGUAGUUUAUAGGAUAACUUAACGAAAAGAGAAGGAAAGAAAAUAGAAGAAGUAUAGUGUAAAAGGCACCUUGUAGUUAACUGUAACUAAGGCUUGAUAUACCUGCUUAAGCUCACUGUAGUUUUCCUGAUGUUAUGCUAGAUUAGACAGUAAUUUGGGAUUAAAGUGUUUGACGGAGAACCAAGAAUGGGAAUAUCCAAGAUGGUUGGUUUGGCAGCAGCAACGCUAUUCUUAGCAUCUAUUUGCCUGAAACUGUCCCGCAACACAUUGAUCAUGGUGCCUAUCCUGUUCGACUCAUUGAUUGCUUCUUUGGUUGCUGUUGCAUCUCAUAAUUCAGUUAACUUUCCGUUAAUCUUGGGAAAGAACUCUGAUGGGAGAUUCCCUCUCUGGUCAAAACUUAUCUUUGCGCCAUUUUUGCUGCUUGUUCGGGCCUAUGUAUAUGUGAGAAGAUUGAAGAGCAAAGAACCAGUAUAUAAUGAAAUUUCUGAAGGUUUAUAUGUAGGAGGGUGGCCUUAUUCUUUAGACCAGUUGCCACCUGGUGGACCGGCAGUUAUUGAUUGCACAUGUGAAUUACCGAGAAGUUCCUUUAUUCCAAAGGAUGAAUAUCUAUGCAUUGCUACAUGGGAUACAAGGUCUCCUUCACCAUCACAAAUUGAAUCUGCAGUUCGUUGGGCGUGUAGAAAAAGGGCCGAGAGGAAACCCAUCUACGUCCACUGCGCAUUUGGUGAGGUUCUGACAUCUCUCCUAAUUUCAUAGGAGUUUCAUAGAACUAUAUGUCUGUAAUCCCUCUCUCUCUCUCUCUCUCUCUCUCUCUGAACUUUCAGCUAUGAUGUUUAUAGUUAUUUUGAAGUUAUUGCAUAGUAAGUGAAGAAAGUUUUUGUUCUUACUUUUAAAAUUAGGGAACUCAGCACCUGGAGCUUCAAUAUAAGCAUUAGUUGAGUGCCUAUUGCCUAAUUCUUUAUUCCGUCCAGCUGAAAGAUCUCAAUUUGGCAUUUUUAGCCACUGUGACCACUGAUUGUUGGCAGAGAGACAUAAAGUUGUAUUUAUUUUGUUGUUAUCAUCAAGCAUUUAAUUUUACAUGCUUGAAGUUCUCUAUUAUGGCAUGCACGAAAUAUAAGCUUGAAUAAGGCUAGUUGCCUAUUCGAUUUGUUAACUUCCAACUUUGACAACCUCAUUUAUUGCAAAAUAGUGAUUUCUUCUAUUAUGAGUUAGCUGCAAGGCGCAGACGCCUUUCUAUACUCUGUUUACGGACAACUCUAAGUUCAGUCAGUCUUAGGCUUUGAGGGCAAUUAUCAUCCGCUUCUUGGGCCUGGGAAUCAAGAAUAAGUUUCAUAUUUCAGCUAUCUAUGGAAAGAUAGAAACGAAACUCUACAUUUUGGAUUAAUUUUGUUAGGCAUCAAUGCUCUCUGGUACUUAGGGCUCUUCAUUUUGGGGGCAUAUAUGAUGCGACAAUUAUACUCUUUGGCUGACAUUUAAUACAAGAGGCUCCGGAAUGUAGUCAUUGCGCAAUACAUCUUCUCUUUUAUGCAUUGACUAUUUGUUAUUUUCUGAAUCAUUAGAGGACAUAUAAUAAAGCAUGUUAAAGGCACCUUUUUCACUCUUCUAUUGUCACCUGACCUGCGACGGAGGUAGAAGGAAGUAUAUCAUAGCAUCUAGUUGAAACUAGGAAAAACAAAUUUUUUUGCGAGAGAAAGGUAGCAUGCUACCCGCUUCGUUUAUUUCUUUUUAGAAAUAAACUUAAUCAAGCUUUUUGCCACUUGCGCUAGAGACGGUCGAUAGAAAAGGCAAAAUUGAGAGAUUUUCUGGUUGUCAUACAAUUUCAUUUUGUCGUUAUGCGAUUUCUUGAUGUUGUGCUGUAACUUAACUUUCUUAUAAUAGCAUAUGCUAGGUGCAUAUUUCUACAAGAAAAUUUGUGAGGUUUAUAGGAUCUCUUUGGGAUGACAAUUAAUGUGCACUAAAGCGUUUAUUAUGUUCUGUAUAUUCUUCUGGUCUUUUGUGCAACUAAAAUUGCCUAAGAAAAUGUCUAUCUUGGCAACAUUUAAGCCUUACACGGGCGUAUGCUACCUACUGGCAUUAUCAUGUUCUCACUUAAACAAGGUUUAUGAUCAUCUUUACUUGUCAGAGCCCUGUUCAAAUUUUUGUGGUUAAUAACAUAACUUUUACUCUUUUUUUUAUGGUUUUGAUGGAUCACGCAACAGGCCAUGGAAGAAGUGUCUGCAUCAUGUCUGCCCUUCUGGUUGCGUUAGGUCUGGCUGAUAACUGGAAAGAAGCUGAGAAGAUUAUUCGGGAAAAAAGACCAAAAAUCAGAAUGAAUGUUCUUCACAGGAGAAACUUGGAAGAAUGGUCCAAAUACAGGCUUUCAUCAAAAACAGGGUAGCUAAUUUUGCUCUCACCUUUGUGACUAUUUAUGUGCCUUGGAGAAGCAUCUAUCCUGCAACUUUCCCUACAUAUUUUAGCUUUAAAAUGGAUCUCUUUAUGCAAACAAUGGUCUAUUGUGAGCCAUUAGGUAUGCUGAAGCCGACAUGUCAGUGUUUUUAGUCUUAUGCUUCUAUCUUGAGUAAUCGCCAUUCAUGCAUGCUUGUUUACCUUUUCCUUGUGAAGCCACUUCCGUUUGUUUCAGAUUUUUGCUGAUACACACAAACAAUAUAUAUUUAGAGACAUCUUUAUAUAUUCGAACCGCUACUCGUUUGUUUUUUCUCUUACCAACAGCUUUUAAACCUUUUACUUCUCUUACGCCCCCUAUUUUCAGCCGUCUAUUAACAUAAUCUUUUUAACUUCGGGUAAACUCUAAUUUACCCCAUUGUGAUAUAGUGCAUUUUAACUUUGUCCCCCUAUGAUUUAAAAAUUUACACUUAAUUAUUUUGUGGCUUAAUGCUUUCUUAUUUUGCCACCCGGUGGUUUGUAAAGUUACAGGUAACUACUCCAUGAUUUUACUUUUUUUUUUGUUUGACUUUAAGAAUCUAUUAUUAAACAAGAUACAACUCCGUAAUUUUUCAUAAAUUUUACCUUGUUUUUCGGUAAAACAAAAAUAAAACUAAAAAAUAAUUAUGUAUAUUAUUUUUUUUAAUCAUAAUAUAACAAAGUAAAAUAUGUGCAUAAAUAGAAAUUUACCCUUCAAUUCUCCUUGUAAAGAAAGAAUGAAAUCUGGAAAGCUUAUCUUCUAAGUCUCUGGAUGUUUCUUUCUAUCUACCUUUGCUGCACAAGAAGAUGUCCUUGAACGCUAAUUCCACAAUUUCUAAGUUCUGAUACAAUCUGUUGGGAUUAUUAUUCUGCUUUUAGAUAGAUUAUAAGGUUUUUAACUCUAGCACUUGCAUUAAUGAGAUGACUACAAAUUUGAAACCCACACUUACCCCCUUUGUAUGUAAAAAAUAAUAAUAACAAUAAUAAAGUGGAGAGUUAUUGUUGACUGAGUCAUCAUUUAGUGGUACUAAAAAUAAUAGACAUCAGUUUUUGGACUCCAGCUAUUAUUAUUUCAAAUAUAAUGCUUUUCGUCCCGUCGCCAAUUAGUUGCACUGCUAAUCUGCAGAUCAAAGAGAUUAUUUUCUGGACCCUAGCAAUUGUUAGGAAUAUCACAUUAAAAAUGCUAAGCUCGACCGACUGUCCAUAAAGCAAGUGACAAAGGGCUUGGUGGUUGGUACCCGAGACCCAACUUCGAAUCCUAGUUGAUUCAUAUUUCUAUCUAAGUUUAUUUCUAAAUAAAAUAAACGAAGCGGGUAGCGUGCUACCUAUCUCUCUCAAAAAAAAAAAAAAUGCUAAGCUUGACUAUAUUUUCUUUUGGUAAAGCAUUUUUUAGUACAUCAGUGGUGAUUUUGUAUAGUAAAUCCAUCUGCCCUUUUUUUUUCUCAACCGAUGGUUUAAAAGACUUAUUUUUUUGAUAAAUAAAUAAUAUGCUAUUCGUUUCGUUUAUUUCAUUUAGAAAUAAAUAUAGCCGGAAAUAUGAAUUAACUAAAAUUUAAAUUUAGAAUCCCAAAUAUCAAUCAACAAAUUGUAUUUUUUUGUCACUUACAUUAUGUACGGUCGGCAUGGUUUAAAAGACUUUGCUGCAAUAAUGAGUUGCUGCUGCAUUUUGAUUUUCUGCUGUAUGAGCUUACUGCAGAUUUGAUUCGUGCCAGAAACUAAUUAAAACUUCCUACAGCUUUAGGUAUUUGAAAUAUUAUUGCUAUAAAUGUAAACUAUUGAUAAAGUAUUAAUAUAAAAUAUAAAAAAAAUAAAUAAAUAAAGUAUUAAUAUAAAAUAUAAUUAUAAUAUAAUAUUGAAGAUAUUUAAUUGAUAAAUACAGUAGGAAUUGGAUUCAGCGAUACUGCUUCUCUAACUAGGAGACAACAUGUGGAGGGACAAUCACUCUUCAAAAAAAAAAAACAACACAAAAGAGUAAUAAUGGUUUCGUCCCUUUGACAAGACGCUACAUAAGGCAAUGGGGCUUCUUAUCCGUGGUACGAUCCGCGACCCGCUAUCGAAAGAACAUGGCCUCGAACAAGUCCCAUCAGGAGGGCCCCACCCUCUGACAAGUGGUGAUUGGUGAACACUAUUCUAGUUUGUUUCAAAAUUUCAAUCAAUAUACUGUUGAACCCAACUAUGAAUUCGCCAAAAGGGACAGCGCAUCCGCAAGAAAAGGAAAAAUGCUUUGCUCACUCUCAAAUUAUUAUUUUUACAAAAACCUUCAAAAAAAUUUUCUGUGAUUUCGUACUUUUUUAUUUUAAUAUUUUAUAAUUUAAAGUGUAUCAUGUUAGUACCCUAUGAUUUCGCAUUUUUUCACUUUAGUAUUCUAUGGUUUAAAGUGUAUCAAGUUAGUAUUUUGUAGUUUUUUUUUUGUAUUAAACUAGUAUCAUGUGGUUUUAUUUUUCUCCGAAUAAAAUAUUAAACCACAAGAUACUAAAGUGAGAAAGUGCGAAACCACAGGGUACUAACUUGAUACACUUUAAACUAUAGGUUACUAAAGUGAGAAAGUGCGAAACCACAGUGUACUAACUUGGUAUACUUAAAACCGCAGGGUACUAAAGUGAGAAAAAAUGAAACCACAAGGGGAGUUUUUGAAGUUUUUCCUUAUUUUUAUUAUUAAUUUUCUUUCUGCGAGUUCAAAUAGUACUCUGGAUUUUCCGUAUAAAUUAAUUUAUUGAGCCCUUAUUUGGUAUAUAUAGUUAUUAAUUUUUUAUUUUCUAAAUUUAUAUAAUUUAAUAUAUUGAAAAAAAAUUAUUAAUUAUUAUUGUAGUCGGUUAUUUUAAAACACAUCAAACUAAGUGAUUGAUGAUAAAUUAUUUUUAAAAAAAAUUCAAAUUAGAAAGUUUUUAUAUUUUGUUGCCAAGUAAGGAUUGCAUAUAAUUUGCUGUCUGUUCAUACAUUUUUUGACACUCAAAUUUUUUUCUAAAAAUAAAAAAUAAAUAAGGCACAAACGAAGUUUCUUGCUUAUAAUAUAUGUUAAGAUAUUAACAAUUCAAAACAAAAUAAAUAUUAGUUUAUUAAUAUAUCAAUAAUUCAGAUAGAGUAUUUAUAGGGAUCCAAAAUAUUUGAGAAACAAAAUAUAUAAUAAUUCAAUAAAAUAACAGGUCAGUGUCAGAAGAAUCUUUUCUACAGGGGUUUUUCUAAAUUAUUCUGGGCCCCGGUUGGUGGGAGGAAAAAACAAAAAAAAAAAAAAAAAAAAAAUCUUCGUACCAGUUAUAGUGUACAAGAUAUAUUCCAAAUCAAUUUCAUUGUGCCUAAUGAGUAUGAUUGGAUAUUGUUUUGUAAUUAUGAUAAAAAAAAAAAAAAAAAUCCCCAUGUCUGCAAUUUGAUCUGAUGGAACCCUCCCUUUGAUAAAUGACAACCACUAUAGUCCGUGGCCCACGAUUUAUACAUUAUAAAAAUGAUUUUUAAAAAAAUUAAAAUAAGCCGUAAAGUUGGAAAAGUUGUUGCUGGAAAUGCUGAAAGAAACCUCCUGUUUUGUCCUUUUCUCAUCAAGUUGUGGGAGAUGGGAGAUGUGGGAGAUGAAGAUAAUAAACAUAUGAAUGCAGUAGUACUUGAUAGAAAAAAUUCGUUCAUUCUCAUCUACACUGCAACUGCAAUAGAGUACGUAGUCAUCCAUUAAUGAUUCAUCAGUGAAGUGUUCAAACUGAUACAGAUCUAUCCUGCCAUUCUUUAAUUCUCUUCUUCACCUCUCACUUGACUCCUGAGCCCCUCUCUUGGCUACUGCUGGAUCCGAGGGAUUGAUUGUUACAUAACAUUCCAACUUCUCCGGAUCUCCCUUGAAUUUCUAGAACUGCGAUCGCCACCGCUCUGAGCCCAAAUGAUCAAGGAAAUUUGCGGCGGAGGAGAAUUAGUUAUCUUCUAAUAUACCUCAGUCAGAAGGCUGAAAAAUGACUCUGCGCCGGUUGAUGAAUUAUUUGUAGCUCUGCCGCCGCAUUGCAGUUGCUGUCGUCGGGAACCAAGGUCCUGUUAGAAAGGGAGCCACAAUUUUGUGAAUGCCAUCCUCACAUACCUACUGAAAAAUUGAGUAACAAGACGCAGCUAAAAUUAUAAGGGAGACCAAAUUCGAUCAUAGGGACAACACUGCUUAAAUAAAUAUUUGCUUUUGUGAUGAAAGGUUACAUAUACAGAGAGAGAGAGAAAGAAUUGAGCUCUCUAUACUUUUAAAAGCACAAGUCGUUGGCGCUUGUAGGUUUGACCUUUAGAUGAAGAUUUGUACGUAGAAUUAGUAUAAUAGUGGUCCCGUAGGACAUAUAUAUAUAGAGAGAGAAAGAGAGAGAGAGAGAGAGUUCAGCUAUUAUUCUAUCGAUAGUACCAAGCUUUUGGUACUAUCGAAUUUUCUGCCGUUAGAUCUAUCAUUUGAUUAUUUCCACCCAUUAGAUUAUACUAUUCAACAAACCAUCUACUCAAUCCUAGAGGACCACUAUCAUCCUAUCCACUUAUCCUUUCAUCCAAUGGCCGAAAACUGAAUAGCACCAAGUGUUUGAUACUAUAAUAGUAUAUAAGCGUAAUUCUAUAUAUAUAGAGAGAGAGAAAGAGAAAGAGAGAUAGCAGGACUGCUAUGCUCCUAGAAGCACGGAGGCCUUCGUGCCCCUAAGCCAUUUUCGAUGAUAGAAUUUUCGAAUCGAUGAUCGGCUCCGCUAGACUUGAUCUAGCAUAUUUGAAAUUUCUAGAAAAUAAUUUUUACAAUUUUUCGAUAUCAUUUACCUAGUAGUCGAAAGAGGAUUCAAAAUUAAUAAGUUUUAGUGGUUAAUAUCUACCAUUUUCAAGUUUAACGGUGUAGAAACAUUGAAAUCAGAUAAAAUUUUGAUUCAAAAUUUUUUACACUAUCUACAACAAGAUCAAUAUCUCUGAUCGAAAAUUUUAAUACUAUAUCACCACUUUCUAUAGGAUUUUUAUUUUCAGCCGUUGAUAUUAAAUCCUUUUGAGUGCUAGGUAAAUAAUAUUGAAAAAUCACAAAAAUUAUUUUCUAUAAACUUCAAAUAUACUAGAUUAAGUCUAACAAAGCCGAUUAUUGAUUUGGAAUUCCACUAUCGAAAAUGGCUCAGGGAAACGGAGGCCUCUGUGCUCUUAAGAGCACAGCAGUCCUACUAUAUAUAUAUAUAUGUGUGUGUGUGUGUGUGUGUGAGAGAGAGAGAGAGAGAGAUAUAUAUAUG